GACGAACGCUAGCGGCGUGCUUAACACAUGCAAGUCGAACGGAAAGGCCCCUUUGGGGGUACUCGAGUGGCGAACGGGUGAGUAACACGUGAGUAACCUGCCCUUGACUUCGGGAUAACUUCAGGAAACUGGGGCUAAUACCGGAUAGGAAUCCUUGCUGCAUGGUGGGGGUUGGAAAGCUUCGGCGGUUUUGGAUGGACUCGCGGCUUAUCAGCUUGUUGGUGGGGUAGUGGCUUACCAAGGCUUUGACGGGUAGCCGGCCUGAGAGGGCGACCGGCCACAUUGGGACUGAGAUACGGCCCAGACUCCUACGGGAGGCAGCAGUGGGGAAUAUUGGACAAUGGGCGAAAGCCUGAUCCAGCCAUGCCGCGUGUGUGAAGAAGGUCUUCGGAUUGUAAAGCACUUUAAGUUGGGAGGAAGGGCAGUAAGUUAAUACCUUGCUGUUUUGACGUUACCAACAGAAUAAGCACCGGCUAACUUCGUG
Molecule: ribosomal RNA, 484 nt
Filed under: uncultured bacterium
Lineage: Bacteria
Description: partial 16S ribosomal RNA
Rfam family: Bacterial small subunit ribosomal RNA
Source: RNAcentral